This is a long non-coding RNA of Homo sapiens (human), 661 nucleotides long. RefSeq lists it as uncharacterized. The transcript has 2 exons. Lineage: Eukaryota; Metazoa; Chordata; Mammalia; Primates; Hominidae. The record is from RefSeq and is a predicted model, not a curated record.
AAAGGAUUCAGAAGGCUAUUUUGCUCUCAUUUUAUCCUUAGGCUUCAGCAGAAGAAACACUUCCUAUAAAUCUCGCCCAAACAGGAAAGCAAACCUGAAAAUACACUAUCCUCCAGCUAUCAGAAUUAUAUUGAGAUCUACUCACAUUUAUGAUGAUGUUCAGAGAUUCAUCAUUGGGAAGGAAAAUGCACACGCUGCGGCGGUCUUGCAUGACUCUGUUGUGGAAAUUCAAUUUGUUCAUUGUGUUUUGGGCUCUCUGGGUGGUCAGGGCUGGGCUCUGGGUCCUUGGCAAUUCCUCAGGUUCCCAGCACUCCAAAGCCAAGCUCACCUCCUCAUCACACGCCCUGCAGGAGAAGCAUCAGGGUGUCCGACUACGUGGGUUUCAUAGCUGUGGAAAAGCCAAAGGGGAGACUCCUGAAGAAAGGCGGUGAAGACUGUGAAGAGCGGGUCAGGAAGAUGAGCACAGCACUGCUACUCCUGUGGGCACAGGGACAGCAUGUCUCCAGCCAGCGCCACCUUGUUUAAUACAUGGGAACUCACUGAAAUUCAUUCUGUAUUUUGCCCGCAAAGUUUUAAAGCUUUCAUCCACAGUCAGGAAUUAAACUUAUACCAAUGAGAGCCUCACACAUUCAAGGAUGUACUAAGCACUACAGGCCUCACA